CCUACGGGAGGCAGCAGUGGGGAAUAUUGGACAAUGGGGGAAACCCUUAUCCAGCGACGCCGCGUGAGGGAAGAAGGUUUUCGGAUUGUAAACCUCUGUCAGUGGGGACGAGAAUGACGGUACCCACGUAGGAAGCGACGGGUAACUACGUGCCAGCAGCCGCGGUAAUAUGUAGGUGGCAAGCGUUGUCCGGAAUUACUGGGUGUAUAGGGGGCGUGGGCGGGAUGUCAAGUCAGAAGUGAAAACUAUGGGCUCAACUCCUGACCUGCUUUUGAAACUGGUAGUCUUGAGUGAAGUAGAGGCAGGCGGAAUUCCUAGUGUAGCGGUGAAAUGCGUAGAUAUUAGGAGGAACACCAGUGGCGAAGGCGGCUUGCUGGGC
This 379-nucleotide ribosomal RNA is filed under the name uncultured bacterium. RNAcentral's name for it is "partial 16S ribosomal RNA". It matches the Rfam family "Bacterial small subunit ribosomal RNA", at positions 338 to 734 of the family's 1533-position model. The record is from RNAcentral.